GUAUGGUAUUGUUCCUUAGCUGGGUGAAUUCUUGAGGAGAAGGUUUGGAGCUUAUUCUAUAACGCUGCUCAAAUGCAAAAUAGGCGGAUUAAUGCACAUGUACAUGUAGCAGAAUUUAGUACCACACUUAUUUUUCUCACGAUAUUUUUAUUAACUGACGAACUCAAGCCUUGAACCUGUCUCUCCCAUCUACGGUUAAGAUUUACGUAUUCUAGCCACUGGGCCACCUCGGCUGUUGUAUUCAUUAUAAUAUUUAUAACGUACUUAUUUGAUAUAACACGUGUCUAUGAAUAAUAAAUGUAAUAUUUCAACAUUACAGACAUAAAGGCAUAGAUAAUUAGUUUCAAUCGUAGACUCCGAAAAAUAAACGAUUAUAUAUAUUGUACCAAAUAUACUUAGAAAAAGUUUUUAAGGAUACAUUUUAGCGGUUGUAUUAUCUAGAGUAUUUUUAUUAAUAAUCUAUAAUUUAAAUUUUAUUUAUAUAGCGGUAGGGGAACAAGGAUCAAACACCUCGUUUACUUGAUGCACUAUAUCCGUCUAGCCUUUUAUUUUCAGGCCAAUACGAUAAGAAAUAUACUCGUAGAAUAUAAAAUUAUCAUGAUUAAUCCUGCACAUAUUUUUAGCCUUCUGGUUGGCUAAUUGAAUCAAAAUUUAUAUUAAAAAAUUCAGAUCAUUGAAAAAACCAUAGAAUUUUUUUACAUUUACUUACCUCGUCAAAAUCUUCGUCGAAACCAACAGUCUCCACUGACUUCAAGCUUUCUACGUCGUCUCGCUUGAGUUUGCGCCGGGCCUCGCUCGGUCCCGCUAACCACAAAAAUGCCACCAAGAGUGCACACAGCCGGAUGCCAAUCAUUGUACAGCCGAUGAAGUUAUCUAUUCAAAUUAUAUCAUUAACGAUCAAAAUAUAAUUUAAGAUUGGUUAAUUAAUAUGAUAAUUUAAAAUAAUGUAUGUAUUUAAAUCUAGAUUCGUAAAAAGCCAUUGGAUUCAACAUUGCGACCUGACAAGGAAUCGAGAAUCACUACAGCCGUUUAUUACGCGAAGCGAUUGAAAUAUUUUUAAUAAGAAAAUUAAUCGCGACGCUGAAGGUUAUUUGACAACAAUGUGGAACUCGGUAGUGCGCUAGUGCGGCCAUAUUCUGAGACGUAAGGUUAUGAAUACACCAAUAAACCAGAAAAGGCUCUCUUACAAAGAUGUACAAGCAGUUCCUCAGUUGAACUGAGGUCGGGUCUGCUUGUCUUGCUCUGUAGAAAGUUCAGACAACAAAAAAAGAAGAAGAAGUUAAACCCGGUACGUAAUAUUAUUAAAUUAAAGUUGCCCAAUGAAAGUUCGCAAGAUCUGAUGGCGUGCUCGCAGUAUUGUAAUAGAAAUAAAGACGAUAUAAAUGUGUCUGAGGUAGACGAUCAAAACUUUUGCAGUUGACGUUAAAAUGUCCGCCGAGCUCACAGAGCAUCGUGGUUUAGUACGAAUAUAAAAUAGAGAACAUAAUUGCUUUGGCCAUUGUUGAUCAAAUUAAUAAUAUUAUGGAAUUAAAA
This is a long non-coding RNA of Vanessa tameamea, 1533 nucleotides long. RefSeq lists it as uncharacterized. The record is from RefSeq and is a predicted model, not a curated record. NCBI's taxonomy places the organism in Eukaryota, Metazoa, Arthropoda, Insecta, Lepidoptera, Nymphalidae. The transcript has 2 exons.